This 209-nucleotide ribosomal RNA is filed under the name uncultured bacterium. RNAcentral describes it as "partial 16S ribosomal RNA". It matches the Rfam family "Bacterial small subunit ribosomal RNA", at positions 568 to 775 of the family's 1533-position model. The record is from RNAcentral.
CGCGUAGGCGGCCUGGUAAGUCUGGAGUGAAAGUCCUGCUUUUAAGGUGGGAAUUGCUUUGGAUACUGUCGGGCUUGAGUGCAGGAGAGGUAAGUGGAAUUCCCGGUGUAGCGGUGAAAUGCGUAGAGAUCGGGAGGAACACCAGUGGCGAAGGCGACUUACUGGACUGUAACUGACGCUGAGGCGCGAAAGUGUGGGGGAGCAAAACA